GCAUAUCAAUAAGCGGAGGAAAAGAAACCAACCGGGAUUGCCUCAGUAACGGCGAGUGAAGCGGCAAGAGCUCAAAUUUGAAAGCUGGCCCCUCCGGGGUCCGCAUUGUAAUUUGCAGAGGAUGCUUCGGGCUCAGCCCCCGUCUAAGUGCCCUGGAACGGGCCGUCGGAGAGGGUGAGAAUCCCGUCUGGGACGGGGUGCCUGGGUCCAUGUGAAGCUCCUUCGACGAGUCGAGUUGUUUGGGAAUGCAGCUCUAAAUGGGUGGUAAAUUUCAUCUAAAGCUAAAUACUGGCCGGAGACCGAUAGCGCACAAGUAGAGUGAUCGAAAGAUGAAAAGCACUUUGAAAAGAGAGUUAAACAGCACGUGAAAUUGUUGAAAGGGAAGCGCUUGCGAUCAGACUCGCCUGCGGGGUUCAGCCGGCAUUCGUGCCGGUGUACUUCCCCGUGGGCGGGCCAGCGUCGGUUCGGGUGGCCGGUCAAAGGCCCCGGGAAUGUGUCGCCCUCCGGGGCGUCUUAUAGCCCGGGGUGCCAUGCGGCCUACCUGGACCGAGGAACGCGCUUCGGCUCGGACGCUGGCGUAAUGGUCGUAAGCGACCCGUCUUGAAACACGGACCAAGGAGUCUAACAUCUACGCGAGUGUUUGGGUGGCAAACCCAUACGCGCAGUGAAAGCGAACGGAGGUGGGAACCCUUCGGGGCGCACCAUCGACCGAUCCUGAUGUCUUCGGAUGGAUUUGAGUAAGAGCGUAGCUGUGGGGACCCGAAAGAUGGUGAACUAUGCCUGAAUAGGGCGAAGCCAGAGGAAACUCUGGUGGAGGCUCGCAGCGGUUCUGACGUGCAAAUCGAUCGUCAAAUUUGGGUAUAGGGGCGAAAGACUAAUCGAACCAUCUGGUAGCUGGUUCCUGCCGA
This 908-nucleotide ribosomal RNA is filed under the name Monascus pilosus. RNAcentral's name for it is "LSU rRNA". It matches the Rfam family "Eukaryotic large subunit ribosomal RNA", at positions 38 to 964 of the family's 3401-position model. Lineage: Eukaryota; Fungi; Ascomycota; Eurotiomycetes; Eurotiales; Aspergillaceae. RNAcentral also lists the same sequence under 1 other name. The record is from RNAcentral.